This 397-nucleotide ribosomal RNA is filed under the name uncultured bacterium. Its description in RNAcentral is "bacterial SSU rRNA". It matches the Rfam family "Bacterial small subunit ribosomal RNA", at positions 30 to 421 of the family's 1533-position model. The record is from RNAcentral.
AUUGAACGCUGGCGGCAGGCCUAACACAUGCAAGUCGAACGGUAACAGGAAGAAGCUUGCUUCUUUGCUGACGAGUGGCGGACGGGUGAGUAAUGUCUGGGAAACUGCCUGAUGGAGGGGGAUAACUACUGGAAACGGUAGCUAAUACCGCAUAACGUCGCAAGACCAAAGAGGGGGACCUUCGGGCCUCUUGCCAUCGGAUGUGCCCAGAUGGGAUUAGCUAGUAGGUGGGGUAACGGCUCACCUAGGCGACGAUCCCUAGCUGGUCUGAGAGGAUGACCAGCCACACUGGAACUGAGACACGGUCCAGACUCCUACGGGAGGCAGCAGUGGGGAAUAUUGCACAAUGGGCGCAAGCCUGAUGCAGCCAUGCCGCGUGUAUGAAGAAGGCCUUCGG